Long non-coding RNA from Bufo bufo (common toad), 258 nucleotides. RefSeq lists it as uncharacterized. Lineage: Eukaryota; Metazoa; Chordata; Amphibia; Anura; Bufonidae. The record is from RefSeq and is a predicted model, not a curated record. The transcript has 3 exons.
AUUAACUGGACCUGUGGCAAACUUAGCAUGCAGCCUGCUCAAAGGUCUUGGUACUCCUGGUGGUCUUGUUAAUCUUAGAGGGAUCCUGAGUGGUGUCUUGGGUUAAGUCAAGAACUAAACUCCUAGCCGUCAACGAAACAUGCUCUGGACGCAUGUAGCUGAAUAGAAGAAGUUGCAAAAAAAAAAAGAAAAACACAUCAAAAAAGUCAUAUUUCUUGAUGAUUAAUAAAAUUAUUUCUUAUAAAUCUUCUAUUUUCA